UACGUAGGGUGCGAGCGUUAUCCGGAAUUAUUGGGCGUAAAGAGCUCGUAGGCGGUUUGUCGCGUCUGCCGUGAAAGUCCGGGGCUCAACUCCGGAUCUGCGGUGGGUACGGGCAGACUAGAGUGAUGUAGGGGAGACUGGAAUUCCUGGUGUAGCGGUGAAAUGCGCAGAUAUCAGGAGGAACACCGGUGGCGAAGGCGGGUCUCUGGGCCGAUACUGACGCUGAGGAGCGAAAGCGUGGGGAGCGAACAGG
This 253-nucleotide ribosomal RNA is filed under the name uncultured bacterium. RNAcentral describes it as "partial 16S ribosomal RNA". It matches the Rfam family "Bacterial small subunit ribosomal RNA", at positions 524 to 776 of the family's 1533-position model. The record is from RNAcentral.